Molecule: ribosomal RNA, 381 nt
Filed under: uncultured bacterium
Lineage: Bacteria
Description: bacterial SSU rRNA
Rfam family: Bacterial small subunit ribosomal RNA
Source: RNAcentral
GACGAACGCUGGCGGCGUGCUUAACACAUGCAAGUCGAACGAGGCCCUGCCUUCGGGCAGGUGACCUAGUGGCGAACGGGUGAGUAACACGUGGGCAACCUACCCUCAGCUCUGGGAUAACCCCGGGAAACCGGAGCUAAUACCGGAUAUGACCUGGAACGACAUCGUUCUUGGUGGAAAGUUUUUCGGCUGAGGAUGGGCCCGCGGCCUAUCAGCUUGUUGGUGGGGUAAUGGCCUACCAAGGCGACGACGGGUAGCCGGCCUGAGAGGGCGAACGGCCACACUGGGACUGAGACACGGCCCAGACUCCUACGGGAGGCAGCAGUGGGGAAUAUUGCGCAAUGGGCGAAAGCCUGACGCAGCGACGCCGCGUGAGGGAUG